CAUCCAGACUCCUACGGGAGGCAGUAGUGGGGAAUAUUGGACAAUGGGGGGAACCCUGAUCCAGCGACGCCGCGUGAGUGAAGAAGUCUUUCGGUAUGUAAAGCUCUAUCAGCAGGGAAGAAAGAAAUGACGGUACCUGACUAAGAAGCCCCGGCUAACUACGUGCCAGCAGCCGCGGUAAUACGUAGGGGGCAAGCGUUAUCCGGAUUCACUGGGUGUAAAGGGAGCGUAGACGGCGACGCAAGUCUGGAGUGAAAGCCCGGGGCCCAACCCCGGGACUGCUCUGGAAACUGCGGCGCUGGAGUACGGGAGGGGCAGGCGGAAUUCCUGGUGCAGCGGUGAAAUGCGUAGAUAUCAGGAGGAACACCGGUGGCGAAGGCGGCCUGCUGGACUGCGACUGACGUUGAGGCCCGAAAGCGUGGGGAGCAAACAGGAUUAGAUACCCGAGUA
Molecule: ribosomal RNA, 450 nt
Filed under: uncultured bacterium
Lineage: Bacteria
Description: partial 16S ribosomal RNA
Rfam family: Bacterial small subunit ribosomal RNA
Source: RNAcentral